This 558-nucleotide long non-coding RNA is filed under the name Mytilus galloprovincialis (Mediterranean mussel). Lineage: Eukaryota; Metazoa; Mollusca; Bivalvia; Mytilida; Mytilidae. The record is from RNAcentral.
AUAAAACAACAACAAAAACUAGAGGCUCUAAAGAGCCUGUGUCGCUCACCUUGGUAUAUGUGAAUAUUAAACAAAGGACGCAGAUAGAUUCAUGAAAAAUUGUGUUUUGGUGAUGGUGAAGUGUUUGUACAUCUUACUUUACUGAACAUUCUUGCUGCUUACAAUUAUCUUUAUCUAUAAUGAACUUGGCCAAGUAGUUUCAGUGGAAAAUGUUAGUAAAAAUUUACAAAUUUUAUGAAAAUUUUAAAAAAUUGACUAUAAAGGACAAUAACUCCUUAGGGGUCAAAUUGACCAUUUUCAGUCACGUUGACUUAUUUGUAAAUCUUACUUUUCUGAACAUUAUUGCUGUUUACAGAUUAUCUCUAUCUAUAAUAGUAUUCAAGAUAAUAACAAAAAAACAGCAAAAUUUCCUUAAAAUUACCAAUUCAGGGGCAGCAACCUAACAACCAGUUGUCCAAUUCAUCUGAAAAUUUUAGAGCAGAUAGAUCUGGACUUGAUAAACAAUUUUUUCCACUGUCAGAUUUGCUCUAAAUGCUUUGGUUUUUAAGUUAUAAGCCC